Molecule: ribosomal RNA, 495 nt
Filed under: uncultured bacterium
Lineage: Bacteria
Description: partial 16S ribosomal RNA
Rfam family: Bacterial small subunit ribosomal RNA
Source: RNAcentral
GACGAACGCUGGCGGCGUGCCUAAUACAUGCAAGUAGAACGCUGAAGGAGGAGCUUGCUUCUCUGGAUGAGUUGCGAACGGGUGAGUAACGCGUAGGUAACCUGCCUGGUAGCGGGGGAUAACUAUUGGAAACGAUAGCUAAUACCGCAUAAUAGUAGAUGUUGCAUGACAUUUGCUUAAAAGGUGCAAUUGCAUCCCUACCAGAUGGACCUGCGUUGUAUUAGCUAGUUGGUGGGGUAACGGCUCACCAAGGCGACGAUACAUAGCCGACCUGAGAGGGUGAUCGGCCACACUGGGACUGAGACACGGCCCAGACUCCUACGGGAGGCAGCAGUAGGGAAUCUUCGGCAAUGGACGGAAGUCUGACCGAGCAACGCCGCGUGAGUGAAGAAGGUUUUCGGAUCGUAAAGCUCUGUUGUAAGAGAAGAACGAGUGUGAGAGUGGAAAGUUCACACUGUGACGGUAUCUUACCAGAAAGGGACGGCUAACUACGUG